UACGUAGGGUCCGAGCGUUGUCCGGAAUUAUUGGGCGUAAAGGGCUCGUAGGCGGUUUGUCGCGUCGGGAGUGAAAACACGGGGCUUAACCCCGUGCCUGCUUGCGAUACGGGCAGACUAGAGGUAUGCAGGGGAGAACGGAAUUCCUGGUGUAGCGGUGAAAUGCGCAGAUAUCAGGAGGAACACCGGUGGCGAAGGCGGUUCUCUGGGCAUUACCUGACGCUGAGGAGCGGAAGCGUGGGGAGCGAACAGG
This 253-nucleotide ribosomal RNA is filed under the name uncultured bacterium. RNAcentral describes it as "partial 16S ribosomal RNA". It matches the Rfam family "Bacterial small subunit ribosomal RNA", at positions 524 to 776 of the family's 1533-position model. The record is from RNAcentral.